RNAcentral lists this ribosomal RNA (260 nucleotides) under uncultured prokaryote. RNAcentral's name for it is "partial 16S ribosomal RNA". It matches the Rfam family "Bacterial small subunit ribosomal RNA", at positions 524 to 784 of the family's 1533-position model. The record is from RNAcentral.
UACGUAGGUGCGAGCGUUGUCCGGAAUUAUUGGGCGUAAAGAGCUUGUAGGCGGUUUGUCGCGUCUGCUGUGAAAAUCCGGGGCUCAACCCCGGACUUGCAGUGGGUACGGGCAGACUAGAGUGUGGUGGGGGAGACUGGAAUUCCUGGUGUAGCGGUGAAAUGCGCAGAUAUCAGGAGGAACACCGAUGGCGAAGGCAGGUCUCUGGGCCACUACUGACGCUGAGAAGCGAAAGCAUGGGGAGCGAACAGGAUUAGAUA